This 382-nucleotide unclassified non-coding RNA is filed under the name soil metagenome. Its description in RNAcentral is "partial contains 5.8S ribosomal RNA, internal transcribed spacer 2, and large subunit ribosomal RNA". The stretch from base 1 to 120 matches the Rfam family "5.8S ribosomal RNA", at positions 35 to 154 of the family's 154-position model. The record is from RNAcentral.
GAUGAAGAACGUAGCGAAAUGCGAUAAGUAAUGUGAAUUGCAGAAUUCAGUGAAUCAUCGAAUCUUUGAACGCACCUUGCGCUCCUUGGUAUUCCGAGGAGCAUGCCUGUUUGAGUGUCAUGAAAUUCUCAACCCCUCUGGCUUUGCUAGUCAGGCUUGGAUUAUGGGAGCUGCUGGCUUUUGAAGUCGGCUCUUCUAAAAUGUAUUAGCAAGAUCAUUGCUGCUGAUCAUUGGUAUGAUAAUUAUCUAUAUCAUUGAGAGUCAGUUUCCUUUAUUGGAAGAUUUUGCUCCUAACGGUCUUUAGCAAGACAACAUUUGACGAUUUUGACCUCAAAUCAGGUAGGACUACCCGCUGAACUUAAGCAUAUCAAUAAGCUGAGGA